Molecule: ribosomal RNA, 455 nt
Filed under: uncultured bacterium
Lineage: Bacteria
Description: bacterial SSU rRNA
Rfam family: Bacterial small subunit ribosomal RNA
Source: RNAcentral
UACGGAAGGCAGCAGUGGGGAAUAUUGCACAAUGGGCGAAAGCCUGAUGCAGCUAUGCCGCGUGUAUGAAGAAGGCCUUAGGGUUGUAAAGUACUUUCAUCGGGGAGGAAAAAACAAAACUAAUAAUUUUAUUUCUUGACGUUACCCGAAAAAGAAGCACCGGCUAACUCCGUGCCAGCAGCCGCGGUAAUACGGAGGGUGCUAGCGUUAAUCAGAAUUACUGGGCGUAAAGAGCACGUAGGUGGUUUUUUUAAAGUCAGAUGUGAAAUCCCUGGGCUUAACCUGGAACUGCAUUUUGAAACUGAAAUACUAGAGUAUCGUAGAGGGAGGUAGAAUUCUAGGUGUAGCGGUGAAAUGCGUAGAUAUCUGGAGGAAUACCUGUGGCGAAAGCGGCCUCCUAAACGAAUACUGACACUGAGGUGCGAAAGCGUGGGGAGCAAACGAGGGAUUAGAUA